This 253-nucleotide ribosomal RNA is filed under the name uncultured bacterium. RNAcentral's name for it is "partial 16S ribosomal RNA". It matches the Rfam family "Bacterial small subunit ribosomal RNA", at positions 524 to 776 of the family's 1533-position model. The record is from RNAcentral.
UACGAAGGGGGCUAGCGUUAUUCGGAAUUAUUGGGCGUAAAGGGCGCGUAGGCGGCCUUUCAAGUGACGGGUGAAAUCCCUCGGCUUAACCGAGGAACUGCCUGUCAGACUGGAAGGCUUGAGACCGGGAGAGGUGAGUGGAAUUCCCAGUGUAGCGGUGAAAUGCGUAGAUAUUGGGAGGAACACCAGUGGCGAAGGCGGCUCACUGGACCGGUACUGACGCUGAGGCGCGAAAGCGUGGGGAGCAAACAGG